AUGGCAUACAAGAAGUUGAGCGACUUAACUACAAGGGGACAGAAUUGGAAUAUUCAAGUGAAAGUAAUAAGAAUGUGGGAUUCAGUGAAUCCUACGACCGAUGAGCUUAUUAGCCUAGAUAUGAUACUGAUGGAUGAGCAGGGUGAAACAAUCCAUGCUACUAUCUGGAAGAAUCUUAUAGACACUUUUAGAUCAAAGAUCAAUGAAAAGUCUAUUUAUGCAUUCAGCAAUUUUAAGGUCGUGGAAUCCACAAAAUAUAGGCCAGUGAGCAAUGAAAUUAAAAUAUUUUUUACAUACAAUACAAAGGUAAAGGAAAUAAAAGGAUCUUCGGAAGUUUUCCCGGAAUAUUGCUUCGAGUUUGCUACCAUGGACACACUAGAAGAAAGGGCGGAAAAAGAUACACAAUGCUCAGAUGUCAUUGGACUACUAACUCAAAUGAAGCCAGUGGAGACAAGAAUAACAAAAAGGAACCCACAACCUUCAUAUAUCCGUGAGAUUGAAAUCCUAAUGCCAGAGGGUGAUAAAAUCAAAAUCACGUUGCUGGGAAAGUUUGCUUAUUUUUUGACCGAGGAUGUAAUCGGCAGCCAAACUGUCCUUAUUAUCACAUCAAUGAUGGUGCAGAGAUUCAGUGGUUUGUGCCUAAAGUCAACGAGUGCCACAAGGAUAUAUAUAGAUCUGGAUAUACCAGAAACACAAGAACUUCUUGAUAGGAACUCAGCCGAAGAAACCUUACCAAAGAUGGGCAGUAUAGAUAGAAGUAAUCAAGGAACACUAGAAGAACAUAUGUUUUAUAGGAGGAGAACAUUAGAAGAACUUACUACAAUGAGGCACGGAAACCAGUCAGAUCAGGAUUUUGUGUUCACCGUCAUAGCUACAGUGGAUCGUUUGCAAGAAGAUAUUCAAUGGUGGUACCGUGUUCGACUCCAAAUUAGUGACCAUACAUCUACUACAAGUUGCACUUUAUUUGAUGAGGAGGCUGCAAGAUUGCUUAAUACAUCUGCAUCUAAGUUGCUGGACACACAGGAUGGGAAAUCGGAAGAAGCGCCAAAGAUUAUUCAACAAUUAUGUGGCAAAAGACUCAUAUUUAGAUUCAAGCUCAAUGAUAAUAAUCUCACAUUUGGCACACAAAACUAUGCCGUAAAAAGAACAUUUGUGCCUGAUGAUAGGCUUGAGAUGCUCUAUUUGGACAAUAAAGCUGAGGAGGAAUUGAUGGAUGAUGAGGUGGACACUGUGUUAAUGAAGAAGCAAAACAUGCCAGAUAGAAAGGUGAUUGAUUUUUUUAACAAUAUACACACUUCAUAUUUUAGAGAUGUAUCUAAUUUUCAAAAUGUUUAUGUUUGCAGUCACAGAAUAAUAAUGUUUCAUCUGGCAAACUUUCAUGUGAACUGGUGCCUGUGA
RNAcentral lists this ribosomal RNA (1398 nucleotides) under Triticum aestivum (bread wheat). RNAcentral describes it as "partial small subunit ribosomal RNA". Lineage: Eukaryota; Viridiplantae; Streptophyta; Magnoliopsida; Poales; Poaceae. The record is from RNAcentral.